Molecule: ribosomal RNA, 279 nt
Filed under: uncultured bacterium
Lineage: Bacteria
Description: partial 16S ribosomal RNA
Rfam family: Bacterial small subunit ribosomal RNA
Source: RNAcentral
UGCCAGCAGCCGCGGUAAGACAGAGGGUGCGAACGUUGUUCGGAAUUACUGGGCGUAAAGCGCGUGUAGGCGGCUAUGCAAGUCGGGUGUGAAAGCCCUGGGCUUAACCGAGGAAGUGCACUCGAAACUGCAUAGCUCGAGUCCCGGAGAGGAUGGUGGAAUUCUCGGUGUAGAGGUGAAAUUCGUAGAUAUCGAGAGGAACACCGGUGGCGAAGGCGGCCAUCUGGACGGGUACUGACGCUGAGACGCGAAAGCGUGGGUAGCAAACAGGAUUAGAUA